This 301-nucleotide ribosomal RNA is filed under the name uncultured bacterium. Its description in RNAcentral is "partial 16S ribosomal RNA". It matches the Rfam family "Bacterial small subunit ribosomal RNA", at positions 509 to 807 of the family's 1533-position model. The record is from RNAcentral.
CAGUCGCCGCGGUAAUACGAGGGGGGCAAGCGUUGUUCGGAAUUAUUGGGCGUAAAGGGUGCGUAGGCGGCCUCGCAAGUCUCAUGUGAAAUCUUCAGGCUCAACUUGAAGUCUGCAUGGGAAACUGCUGGGCUGGAGAAUGGGAGAGGUGAGUGGAAUUCCUGGUGUAGCGGUGAAAUGCGUAGAUAUCAGGAGGAACACCUGUGGCGAAAGCGGCUCACUGGACCAUAACUGACGCUGAGGCACGAAAGCUAGGGGAGCAAACAGGAUUAGAUACCCCCGUAGUCCCUGUCUCUUAUAC